AGUACAAAUCUAGAUUUAAAUUUAUCCUUUCCUUAAUUGGUUGGAUCAAUCAAAUCCUAAUUUGAUUCAACUUGAACUUUAUAUUAAUUUGAUCAUAUCAAAUUAAUAACGCAACAUUUGCACAUAAAUUCUCUUAUAAUUUACUAAUUAUUAGUAAGUCCUCUCUAGUAACAUUUAUACCUUAAUACCACUAAUUUGUAACAGUUAUAAAUUAGUCCAAUUAUCAACAUAUUGACAAUUAGGUCCUCCGACAAUUCAAUAAUCGCGAUCUAGCUAUCUGAUCAAUCACAACCUCUUAUGUGUGUGACCCCAUAGGUUCUAUUCUAUCUGGUAGUGAGAUAUAUUUUGAUCACUAUCAACAAUAUCACUGAAACUCCUUUCAGUGGAUCGGAACAAUUCCAAUUCAGCUCAAUGAGAAUUAUCGAUCAUCUAAAUAAUUCUCAUGAGUCUCACAAUCCACCAAUGACGCCUAGCAGCAUAUAGUGGCAUUCCAGUAGAAUGGAAUACUGAACCUCUUGGUGCAGUUACUGUAAGGACCCGAAUAGCUAGGGACCAAGUGUAUGUACAGUCAAACUA
RNAcentral lists this long non-coding RNA (576 nucleotides) under Ananas comosus (pineapple). Its description in RNAcentral is "long non-coding RNA (ACOM_LNC021343)". The record is from RNAcentral. Lineage: Eukaryota; Viridiplantae; Streptophyta; Magnoliopsida; Poales; Bromeliaceae.